AGAGUUUGAUCCUGGCUCAGGACGAACGCUGGCGGCGUGCCUAAUACAUGCAAGUCGAGCGAACCAAUAAGAAGCUUGCUUUUUGUUGGUUAGCGGCGGACGGGUGAGUAACACGUGGGUAACCUGCCUGUAAGACCGGGAUAACUCCGGGAAACCGGUGCUAAUACCGGAUAGAUUAUCUUUCCGCCUGGAGAGAUAAGGAAAGAUGGCUAUUGCCAUCACUUACAGAUGGGCCCGCGGCGCAUUAGCUAGUUGGUGAGGUAACGGCUCACCAAGGCGACGAUGCGUAGCCGACCUGAGAGGGUGAUCGGCCACACUGGGACUGAGACACGGCCCAGACUCCUACGGGAGGCAGCAGUAGGGAAUCUUCCGCAAUGGACGAAAGUCUGACGGAGCAACGCCGCGUGAGCGAAGAAGGUCUUCGGAUCGUAAAGCUCUGUUGUUAGGGAAGAACAAGUAUCGGAGGAAAUGCCGGUACCUUGACGGUACCUGACGAGAAAGCCACGGCUAACUACGUGCCAGCAGCCGCGGUAAUACGUAGGUGGCAAGCGUUGUCCGGAUUUAUUGGGCGUAAAGCGCGCGCAGGCGGUCCUUUAAGUCUGAUGUGAAAUCUUGCGGCUCAACCGCAAGCGGUCAUUGGAAACUGGGGGACUUGAGUGCAGAAGAGGAAAGCGGAAUUCCACGUGUGGCGGUGAAAUGCGUAGAGAUGUGGAGGAACACCAGUGGCGAAGGCGGCUUUCUGGUCUGUAACUGACGCUGAGGC
Molecule: ribosomal RNA, 763 nt
Filed under: bacterium enrichment culture
Lineage: Bacteria
Description: bacterial SSU rRNA
Rfam family: Bacterial small subunit ribosomal RNA
Source: RNAcentral